Molecule: microRNA precursor, 85 nt
Filed under: Bombyx mori (domestic silkworm)
Lineage: Eukaryota; Metazoa; Arthropoda; Insecta; Lepidoptera; Bombycidae
Description: mir-2807 microRNA precursor family
Rfam family: mir-2807 microRNA precursor family
Source: Rfam by way of RNAcentral
UUAACUCAAAUUUGUAUGGAGUUGGAACAGCGCCCCUAGCGGCAAACGAAGGGUAGUUGUUCCAACUUCAUACAAAUUUGAGUUA